UAAACUCAAGUAUACAAAACUUACAGCAAAGAAAAUCAGUAUCCGAAUUCGAACACACAUAUGCAAUUUGAUCCGAUAACAUUAUGAGAGCAAAUUUUGAGAUAGAUGGGCCACAAAAGUUUCAUGAGGACUGCAUCAUAAAGUGAAGUUACAAAUCCCCUGAAAGAAAAAAAAAAGGUGAAGUUACAAAUACAGGGCGCCGGUAGAAUUGAAACACACACACCGACACGCGACAAACACCGACGCAUGAGGUGUGGGAGCCACUGCAUGAACAGCAACCCCGCUUAUUCAGCACGCGGAAGAUAGCACGCAGAGAAAAUCACGCACAGGCGAGCACGAGACCGGGCCCACGUCCCAGCCUCUCUCGCUUAUGGAACACACGUAAGCACACGCACGCCGGCGGCCCGCGCGUCGGCGACGAUCUAGCCGAAGUGGUGGUGCUUCUUCUCGCCGCUGGCCUCCUUGGCCUCCUUGUGGUCCUGCUUCUUCUCGUGGUGCUCGUGGAAGACGAAGCCGCCGGCACCGACGGCCGCGGCGGCGGCCAGCUCCUCCUCGAUCUUGUGCUUGUGCGCGUGUUCCGGGUCCUUCUUCGCCUCGUGCUUCUCGUACUGCACGUGGACAAGCAGUUCAUUAGCCAAGCCCGGAAAGACAUGAACUACGUAUAUAUCUAUAUACGCGUAUGGGUAAAUAGUUACGAUGAGAGAGAGAGAGCGUACGAGGGCGAAGGCUCCGGCGGCGACGGCGCCCAUCUCGCCGAGGUGCUCCUUGUGCUUGUGGUGCUUCUCCUCCUUGGUGAUCCGCUCGUACUCGCCCUCGUUGCCGGUGCCGGUCACCACCGUCUCGGUCGAGUACCCGUACACGUCGGCGCCGCCAUCAGCGGCGGGCUGGAAGUCCUCGCCCUCCUUCUUGUGGUGGAACAGGUGGUGGUGGUGCUUCUCCUCCGCCAUGGCCGCCGGCUGAUCGAUUAACUAGCUUGUAUGUGUGCGUGUAUGUGACAGUGGGACAGCUUCUUAUCUGCUUGGUCUGUGUAGGCUUCCUACUGGCCGGGUUUUAUAGGCUGAGGCGACUGUUGGAAUGGACGGUGGAACUAACCGUUCCGUUCCACGGGUUAUGGAUACUGGAUCCAUCAAAUAUACAGUACGUAUGCAUACGAUUGUGAUCUGCUUUAUGUACGUGUCCCGGAGUCAUUGGAGGCUUGGAGCCCAAGCACUCAGGCAACCACAGGACAGGGGGCCACGUUCUGAUGGCCAACGGUGCAGCGCCCCACCACCUUCUUGGCACUUGGCAGAGUUGCAGCUUGGGGUAGCUUACAUGUGAGUAACAAAAGUUUAGAGAAGUGUCGGCAUGCACGGAUUGGCUGACGGUGAUGUGGCACCGCGCACGCCUUUCCCUGCUCCCCGCGUCCACUAUCCAGCAACCUUUACUCGUAUGUAAUUACGUGUGCGCAUUAUUACUUUUUCUUUUUUGAGAAGUACUCCGUAGUACUAUUUGUGAAAAGUAAAAACGAGAGAGAGGAUAAAAAUGAUGGAACCGUUGCUUUCAUUGAUGGAUUGGGAGUAUAUAUACCCCUGAUACAAGGCAGUUACAAAGAGGCAGUUGCUACUAGUAGCAACCGACAUAGCGGGGAUUAACCCUUUAAUUAAUCUAAUUAAUUUAUUUCUAACACUCCCCCUAAUCACUGCUUGUCUUGGAUAUUUAUUAUCUUGAUAAAGACUCCUCUUUGUAUGUGUCUUUAAGAAUGUCCAUCAUCUUCGUGAAAGCCUUUGUAUAAUCUUGAAAGUCUUCCCAAAAAACCCUGUGGGAAAAAAUAUGAGGAGAAUAGUGUAGGUAUGUUGCUAAAACUCCUUUAAACCCGGUGGGAAAAUAAUAAGGAGAAAAUAAUGCAACAUAUAAUGAUUAUUGUCUCUUGAUAACUCAAUCGAGAAAACCUUUGAAGAAGGAGAAAAAUCAAUUGUGAGUUUAGAGAACAAUUAAUAUGUCUUUAAUACUUUCUUUAAAAAAACCCAAUAGGGAAAAUAGAAAGUAUGGCAUAUGAUUUUGAUAAUAUAUUGCCUCAUUAAAAACCUUUUUAUGAGAAAACUGAUGCAAAACUCAUAAAGGAAAAGAGUACAAUUAUUAUCUGAUGAUAAUUAAUGGGUUAUGAGUCUAGGAAUUUCUCCCCCUGAAAUUUGCAAAUCUCGAAAACGUCUCAUACCAAUUCCAUGAAUAUAUUUCUGGAAUGUUGAAUUUGGUAAAGACUUUGUGAACAAAUCUGCUAGAUUGUCGCAUGAUUUGGUUUGCAAAAUAUCAAUUUCUCCAUCCUUUUGUAAUGCAUGAGGAUAGAAUAACUUAGGAGAAAUGUGUUUUGUGAUAUUACUUUUCACAUAACCCAUUUGCAUUUGAGCAAUGCAGGCUGCAUUAUCUUCAUAUAUAAUAGUUGGUGAUCC
This 2426-nucleotide long non-coding RNA is filed under the name Hordeum vulgare. RNAcentral describes it as "long non-coding RNA (HVUL_LNC008903)". The record is from RNAcentral. Lineage: Eukaryota; Viridiplantae; Streptophyta; Magnoliopsida; Poales; Poaceae.